RNAcentral lists this long non-coding RNA (234 nucleotides) under Junco hyemalis (dark-eyed junco). RNAcentral's name for it is "lncRNA (ENSJHYG00000002583.1)". Lineage: Eukaryota; Metazoa; Chordata; Aves; Passeriformes; Passerellidae. The record is from RNAcentral.
UCUUUGAGAUCUACCAAAUCUGUGGAUAUGCAAUACACUGAAGUGUGGAGAUGGAAUGAAGUUGAAAGGAUUCAUGAAUAAAAUUUGCUGCCGCCCUGUUCAGCUGGACUGUGAACUGAGGCAACUCUCUCCUACCAUGUUGUUCAACAUCACACGAUCGCUUUCUCAGGAGAUAGUUCUCCUAAAACACGGCAGAGUUCAGCUCACUGGAGGCUGUGGCAAAACCGUAGCAAG